Molecule: transfer RNA, 92 nt
Filed under: Enterocloster bolteae
Lineage: Bacteria; Bacillati; Bacillota; Clostridia; Lachnospirales; Lachnospiraceae
Also listed under: 6 other names
Description: tRNA-Ser
Rfam family: tRNA
About the family: Transfer RNA (tRNA) molecules are approximately 80 nucleotides in length.
Source: RNAcentral
GGAGAGGUGUCCGAGCGGUUUAAGGUGCAUGAUUGGAAAUCAUGUUGCCGGCGAAUACCGGCACGGGGGUUCGAAUCCCCCUCUCUCCGCCA